UCUUGGAAUGACCCUUCGGGGGAAUGAAGAGAUGGAGAGCGGCGGACGGGUGAGUAACGCGUAGGCAACCUGCCCUUCACAGAGGGAUAGCCACUGGAAACGGUGAUUAAAACCUCAUAAAGCCGGAUGUUCACAUGAACGACCGGCCAAAGAUUUAUCGGUGAAGGAUGGGCCUGCGUCUGAUUAGAUAGUUGGUAGGGUAACGGCCUACCAAGUCAACGAUCAGUAGCCGACCUGAGAGGGUAAUCGGCCACAUUGGAACUGAGACACGGUCCAAACUCC
This 282-nucleotide ribosomal RNA is filed under the name uncultured Eubacteriales bacterium. RNAcentral describes it as "uncultured Clostridiales bacterium partial 16S ribosomal RNA". It matches the Rfam family "Bacterial small subunit ribosomal RNA", at positions 68 to 339 of the family's 1533-position model. Lineage: Bacteria; Bacillati; Bacillota; Clostridia; Eubacteriales. The record is from RNAcentral.